GAUGAAGAACGUAGCGAAAUGCGAUAAGUAAUGUGAAUUGCAGAAUUCAGUGAAUCAUCGAAUCUUUGAACGCACAUUGCGCCGGCCAGUAAUCUGGCGGGCAUGCCUGUUCGAGCGUCAUUUCAACCCUCAGGCCCCCAGUGCCUGGUGUUGGGGAUCGGCAGCAGGGCGUCAAGCCCGCCGGCCCCGAAAUCUAGUGGCGGUCUCGCUGUAGUCCUCCUCUGCGUAGUAGCACAACCUCGCACUUGGAACGCGGCGGUGGCCAUGCCGUUAAACACCCCACUUCUGAAAGUUGACCUCGGAUCAGGUAGGAAUACCCGCUGAACUUAAGCAUAUCAAUAAGCGGAGGA
Molecule: unclassified non-coding RNA, 350 nt
Filed under: soil metagenome
Description: partial contains 5.8S ribosomal RNA, internal transcribed spacer 2, and large subunit ribosomal RNA
Rfam family: 5.8S ribosomal RNA (bases 1-120)
Source: RNAcentral